This 500-nucleotide ribosomal RNA is filed under the name uncultured bacterium. RNAcentral's name for it is "partial 16S ribosomal RNA". It matches the Rfam family "Bacterial small subunit ribosomal RNA", at positions 30 to 523 of the family's 1533-position model. The record is from RNAcentral.
AUUGAACGCUGGCGGCAUGCCUUACACAUGCAAGUCGAACGGCAGCACGGGAGCAAUCCUGGUGGCGAGUGGCUAACGGGUGAGCAAUAUAUAGGAACGUGCCCAGUCGUGGGGGAUAACGUGGCGAGAGCUACGGUAAUAACGCCUACGGUCUAUGGAUGAAAGCGGGGGACAGCAAGACCUCGCGCGAUUGGAGCGGCCGAUAUCAGAUUAGGUAGUUGGUGAGGUAAAGGCUCACCAAGCGGACGAUCUGUAGCUGGUCUGAGAGGACGACCAGCCACACUGGGACUGAGACACGGCCCAGACUCCUACGGGAGGCAGCAGUGGGGAAUUUUGGGCAAUGGGCGCAAGCCUGAUCCAGCAAUGCCGCGUGCAGGAUGAAGGCCCUCGGGUUGUAAACUGCUUUUGUACGGAACGAAACGGUGAGCUCUAAUACAGUUUGCUAAUGACGGUACCGUAAGAAUAAGCACCGGCUAACUACGUGCCAGCCGCCGCUGUAA